UACGUAGGUGGCAAGCGUUGUCCGGAAUUAUUGGGCGUAAAGCGCGCGCAGGCGGCCUCUUAAGUCUGAUGUGAAAGCCCCCGGCUCAACCGGGGAGGGCCAUUGGAAACUGGGAGGCUUGAGUAUAGGAGAGAAGAGUGGAAUUCCACGUGUAGCGGUGAAAUGCGUAGAGAUGUGGAGGAACACCAGUGGCGAAGGCGACUCUUUGGCCUAUAACUGACGCUGAGGCGCGAAAGCGUGGGGGAGCAAACAGG
RNAcentral lists this ribosomal RNA (254 nucleotides) under uncultured bacterium. RNAcentral's name for it is "partial 16S ribosomal RNA". It matches the Rfam family "Bacterial small subunit ribosomal RNA", at positions 524 to 776 of the family's 1533-position model. The record is from RNAcentral.